UGCUUCGCGGUCCACGAACGUCUUCCUUCUCCAAGAUCACAACUCUCAGUUUCUAUUUGAGAAGUAGAGGUUCUGGUUUCAGCGGAGAGUUGACCCGGGCCAGACGAGUGCUCGGGGAGGAAGGUUAGAUCCGUAUGGACAUGGAAACUAAUUGGUCCGUCGGUAAACCCGACCCGAAUUCAAGCUACUUGCAGAAAUUCCGACUCUACGAAACGCGCUCGAAUUUUUAUAUGAUAGGAAGAGACAAGAACAGGACCUUUUGGAGGGUUUUAAAGAUUGAUCGGUUAGAACCAUCUGAGCUGUGUAUUCUCGAGGAUUCUACAAUAUACUCAGAAAGUGAAUGCUGUGAUCUGCUAAGGCGAAUACAUGAAGGGAAUAAAUCAACUGGUGGACUUAGAUUUGUUACUACUUCCUACGGAAUAGUUGGUUUCAUAAAAUUUUUGGGACCUUAUUACAUGUUGCUGAUUACAAAAAGAAGGAAAAUUGGUGCAAUUUGUGGCCAUGCAAUAUAUGCCAUCAUCAAGAGCGAGAUGAUUCCUAUUCCAAAUUCUUCUGUGCGGUCCAAUAUGACUAAUUCUAAGAAUGAGAACAGGUCUUUUGUCCAUUCUGCA
This 611-nucleotide unclassified non-coding RNA is filed under the name Hevea brasiliensis (rubber tree). Lineage: Eukaryota; Viridiplantae; Streptophyta; Magnoliopsida; Malpighiales; Euphorbiaceae. The record is from RNAcentral.